RNAcentral lists this ribosomal RNA (253 nucleotides) under uncultured bacterium. RNAcentral's name for it is "partial 16S ribosomal RNA". It matches the Rfam family "Bacterial small subunit ribosomal RNA", at positions 524 to 776 of the family's 1533-position model. The record is from RNAcentral.
UACGUAGGGGGCAAGCGUUGUCCGGAAUUAUUGGGCGUAAAGAGCGUGUAGGCGGCCCGAUAAGUCCGCCGUGAAAGCCCAGGGCUCAACCCUGGGAUGCCGGUGGAUACUGUCGGGCUAGAAUCCGGAAGAGGCGAGUGGAAUUCCUGGUGUAGCGGUGAAAUGCGCAGAUAUCAGGAGGAACACCGAUGGCGAAGGCAGCUCGCUGGGACGGUAUUGACGCUGAGACGCGAAAGCGUGGGGAGCAAACAGG